This 376-nucleotide unclassified non-coding RNA is filed under the name uncultured bacterium. RNAcentral's name for it is "contains 16S-23S intergenic spacer region". The record is from RNAcentral.
UCCGAGUUGUCCCCGGCAGUCCCCUUAGAGUCCCCGGCAUUACCCGCUGGCAACUAAGAGCAGGGGUUGCGCUCGUUAUGGGACUUAACCCGACACCUCACAGCACGAGCUGACGACGGCCAUGCAGCACCUUGCAUUCUGCCCGAAGGAGGGCUGGUUUCCCAGCCUGUCAGAAUGCAUUUAAGCCCAGGUAAGGUUCCUCGCGUAUCAUCGAAUUAAACCACAUGCUCCGCUGCUUGUGCGGGCCCCCGUCAAUUCCUUUGAGUUUCAGCCUUGCGGCCGUACUCCCCAGGCGGGGUGCUUAAUGCGUUAGCUGCGGCACGGGCGGAGUCGACACCGCCCACACCUAGCACCCAUCGUUUACGGCGUGGACUAC